This 728-nucleotide ribosomal RNA is filed under the name uncultured bacterium. Its description in RNAcentral is "bacterial SSU rRNA". It matches the Rfam family "Bacterial small subunit ribosomal RNA", at positions 56 to 763 of the family's 1533-position model. The record is from RNAcentral.
UGCAGUCGCACGAGAAAGGGGCUUCGGCUCCGAGUAAAGUGGCGGACGGGUGAGUAACACGUGGGUAAUCUACCUUUCAGCGGGGGAUAACAGUCCGAAAGGAUUGCUAAUACCGCAUACGUCGUCCGGGGCUUCGGUCCUGGGCGGGAAAGCCGGCCUCUCCAUGGAAGCUGGCGCUGAUUGAGGAGCCCGCGGCCCAUCAGCUAGUUGGUAGGGUAACGGCCUACCAAGGCUUAGACGGGUAGCUGGUCUGAGAGGAUGAUCAGCCACACUGGGACUGAGACACGGCCCAGACUCCUACGGGAGGCAGCAGUGGGGAAUAUUGGGCAAUGGGCGCAAGCCUGACCCAGCCACGCCGCGUGAGUGAUGAAGGCCUUCGGGUCGUAAAGCUCUGUGGGGAGGGACGAAAAAACAUUGGCUAAUAUCCAAUGGACUGACGGUACCUCCUUAGCAAGCACCGGCUAACUCCGUGCCAGCAGCCGCGGUAAUACGGAGGGUGCAAACGUUGCUCGGAAUCAUUGGGCGUAAAGCGCACGUAGGCGGUCCAGCAAGUCGGGUGUGAAAGCCCUCGGCUUAACCGAGGAAGUGCAUUCGAAACUACUGGGCUUGAGUACUGAAGAGGACCGCGGAAUUCCCGGUGUAGAGGUGAAAUUCGUAGAUAUCGGGAGGAACACCAGUGGCGAAGGCGGCGAUCUGGGCAGAUACUGACGCUGAGGUGCGAAAGCGUG